This is a non-coding RNA of Taeniopygia guttata (zebra finch), 383 nucleotides long. The record is from RefSeq and is a predicted model, not a curated record. NCBI's taxonomy places the organism in Eukaryota, Metazoa, Chordata, Aves, Passeriformes, Estrildidae.
ACAAAACACUAAGGAAGGGUGUGCAUCGGCCCCCGCUCUCUCCAUCGCCCUUCCUAGUCAUGACAUGGGGGGCCUGAAGAAACUCCAGACUGAAGACAAGGUGAAGGCUGAGCAUGGAUCAGCCUCACACAGAGACCUGACUGGCUAUCCUCUUACCAAGAGGCUUUCUCUGGACACGUCUGAUUGUCUGUUACCUGCAAAGUCCUUGCUUCCCAUCCAGAAGAGCUCUCAUCCCUCCAAGCUCAGGAAGAAGCUGCCGCCUGCCUGAAGAGUAGUUGAAGAAUAGGAUUUAUGCAUUAGUCUUCAUAGAUAUAGAUAUACAUAUGUUCUGAUAUUUAGAUGUAGUUUUGAUUAAAUAUAUUUUGAUUGUAUCUUGAAAUUUU